This 492-nucleotide ribosomal RNA is filed under the name uncultured bacterium. RNAcentral describes it as "partial 16S ribosomal RNA". It matches the Rfam family "Bacterial small subunit ribosomal RNA", at positions 29 to 507 of the family's 1533-position model. The record is from RNAcentral.
AGUGAACGCUGGCGAUAGGCCUAACACAUGCAAGUCGAACGGCAGCACAGUAAGACCUUGCUCUUACGGGUGGCGAGUGGCGGACGGGUGAGGAAUACAUCGGAAUCUACCUUUUCGUGGGGGAUAACGCAGGGAAACUUACGCUAAUACCGCAUACGACCUACGGGUGAAAGCAGGGGAUCUUCGGACCCUGCGCGAUUGAAUGAGCCGAUGUCGGAUUAGCUAGUUGGCGGGGUAAAGGCCCACCAAGGCGACGAUCCGUAGCUGGUCUGAGAGGAUGAUCAGCCACACUGGCACUGGGACACGGUCCAGACUCCUACGGGAGGCAGCAGUGGGGAAUAUUGGACAAUGGGCACAAGCCUGAUCCAGCCAUACCGCGUGCGUGAAGAAGGCCUUCGGGUUGUAAAACCCUUUUGUUGGGAAAGAAAAGCAGCAGGUUAAUACCCAGCUGUUCUGACGGUACCCGAAGAAUAAGCACCGGCUAACUUCGUG